CCUACGGGUGGCAGCAGUGAGGAAUAUUGGUCAAUGGACGAGCGUCUGAACCAGCCAAGUAGCGUGAAGGAUGACUGCCCUAUGGGUUGUAAACUUCUUUUAUAUGGGAAUAAAAUGUUCCACGUGUGGGAUUUUGUAUGUACCAUAUGAAUAAGGAUCGGCUAACUCCGUGCCAGCAGCCGCGGUAAUACGGAGGAUCCGAGCGUUAUCCGGUUUUAUUGGGUUUAAAGGGAGCGUAGGUGGAUUGUUAAGUCAGUUGUGAAAGUUUGCGGCUCAAACGUAAAAUUGCAGUUGAAACUGGCAGUCUUGAGUACAGUAGAGGUGGGCGGAAUGCGUGGUGUAGCGGUGAAAUGCUUAGAUAUCACGAAGAACUCCGAUUGCGAAGGCAGUUCACUGGACUGCAACUGACACUGAGGCUCGAAAGUGUGGGUAUCAAACAGGAUUAGAUACCCGUGUAGUC
RNAcentral lists this ribosomal RNA (460 nucleotides) under uncultured bacterium. RNAcentral describes it as "partial 16S ribosomal RNA". It matches the Rfam family "Bacterial small subunit ribosomal RNA", at positions 338 to 795 of the family's 1533-position model. The record is from RNAcentral.